GCCCGGAUAGCUCAGUCGGUAGGGAAUCAGACUUCUAAUCUGAGGGUCCUGGGUUUGAGUUCCUGCUCGGGUG
This 73-nucleotide transfer RNA is filed under the name Taenia asiatica. It matches the Rfam family "tRNA". Rfam says of the family: Transfer RNA (tRNA) molecules are approximately 80 nucleotides in length. Their secondary structure includes four short double-helical elements and three loops (D, anti-codon, and T loops). Lineage: Eukaryota; Metazoa; Platyhelminthes; Cestoda; Cyclophyllidea; Taeniidae. The record is from Rfam by way of RNAcentral.